RNAcentral lists this ribosomal RNA (370 nucleotides) under uncultured eukaryote. RNAcentral describes it as "partial 18S ribosomal RNA". It matches the Rfam family "Eukaryotic small subunit ribosomal RNA", at positions 592 to 976 of the family's 1831-position model. The record is from RNAcentral.
CAAUAGCGUAUAUUAAAGUUGUUGCAGUUAAAAAGCUCGUAGUUGGAUUUCUGGCCGGGGCCAAGGAAGCAUUUGCGUGCGUCCGCGACCCUUGUCAUCCGUCUGUUAAGCCGGUAUUGCAUUUGCUUGCAGACCGGGGGCUCAGGCAAUUUACCUUGAGAAAAUUAGAGUGUUUCAGGCAGGCUAGCGCCGGGAUACAUUAGCAUGGAAUAAUGGAACAGGACUUGAGUCUCUUCUGUUGGUUCGAGGGAUUCAGUAAUGAUUAAUAGGGAUAGUUGGGGGCAUUAGUACUUUACUGUCAGAGGUGAAAUUCUUGGAUUUGUAAAAGACUAACUUAUGCGAAAGCAUUUGCCAAGGAUGUUUUCAUUAA